This 505-nucleotide ribosomal RNA is filed under the name uncultured bacterium. RNAcentral describes it as "partial 16S ribosomal RNA". It matches the Rfam family "Bacterial small subunit ribosomal RNA", at positions 28 to 507 of the family's 1533-position model. The record is from RNAcentral.
GACGAACGCUGGCGGCGUGCCUAAUACAUGCAAGUAGAACGCACAGUUUAUACCGUAGCUUGCUACACCAUAGACUGUGAGUUGCGAACGGGUGAGUAACGCGUAGGUAACCUGCCUGGUAGCGGGGGAUAACUAUUGGAAACGAUAGCUAAUACCGCAUAAUAUUAAUUAUUGCAUGAUAAUUAAUUGAAAGGUGCAAUUGCACCACUACCAGAUGGACCUGCGUUGUAUUAGCUAGUAGGUGAGGUAACGGCUCACCUAGGCGACGAUACAUAGCCGACCUGAGAGGGUGAUCGGCCACACUGGGACUGAGACACGGCCCAGACUCCCACGGGAGGCAGCAGUAGGGAAUCUUCGGCAAUGGACGAAAGUCUGACCGAGCAACGCCGCGUGAGUGAAGAAGGUUUUCGGAUCGUAAAGCUCUGUUGUAAGAGAAGAACGGGUGUGAGAGUGGAAAGUUCACACUGUGACGGUAUCUUACCAGAAAGGGACGGCUAACUACGUG